This 406-nucleotide ribosomal RNA is filed under the name uncultured bacterium. Its description in RNAcentral is "partial 16S ribosomal RNA". It matches the Rfam family "Bacterial small subunit ribosomal RNA", at positions 30 to 526 of the family's 1533-position model. The record is from RNAcentral.
AUUGAACGCUGGCGGCAGGCCUAACACAUGCAAGUCGAACGAGUGGCGGACGGGUGAGUAAUGUCUGGGAAACUGCCUGAUGGAGGGGGAUAACUACUGGAAACGGUAGCUAAUACCGCAUACCAUCAGAUGUGCCCCGAUGGGAUUAGCUAGUUGGUGGCGUACCGGGUCACCAAGGCGACGAUCCCUAGCUGGUCUGAGAGCAUGACCAGCCACACUGGAACUGAGACACGGUCCAUAGUCCUACGGGAGGAAGGAGUGGGGAAUAUUGCACAAUGGGCGAAAGCCUGAUGCAGCCAUGCCGCGUGUAUGAAGAAGGCCUUCGGUUUGUCAAGUACUUUCAGCGGGGAGGCGUUACCCGCAGAAGAAGCACCGGCUAACUCCGUGCCAGCAGCCGCGGUAAUAC